UAAUACGUACCGUCCAAACGUUAUUCGGAAUUACUGGGCUUAAAGGGUACGUAGGCGGCGCUGUCAGUCGGGUGUGAAAUCCCACGGCUCAACCGUGGAACUGCGCCCGAUACUGCAGUGCUUGAGGGAGACAGAGGUAAGCGGAACUGAUGGUGGAGCGGUGAAAUGCGUUGAUAUCAUCAGGAACACCGGUGGCGAAAGCGGCUUACUGGGUCUCUUCUGACGCUGAGGUACGAAAGCCAGGGGAGCGAAGGGGAUUAGAUACCCCCGUAGUCCUGGCCGUAAACGUUGAGCACUUGAUCGUGGGGCCCCCCAUAGCCUCUCGGUCGUAGCGAAAGUGUUAAGUGCUCCGCCUGGGGAGUAUGGUCGCAAGGCUG
Molecule: ribosomal RNA, 377 nt
Filed under: uncultured bacterium
Lineage: Bacteria
Description: bacterial SSU rRNA
Rfam family: Bacterial small subunit ribosomal RNA
Source: RNAcentral